Molecule: ribosomal RNA, 261 nt
Filed under: uncultured bacterium
Lineage: Bacteria
Description: partial 16S ribosomal RNA
Rfam family: Bacterial small subunit ribosomal RNA
Source: RNAcentral
CGACCGGCGGACGGGUGCGUAACGCAUAUGUAACCUACCUUUGACAGGGGGAUAACAUCGAGAAAUUGGUACUAAUACCCCAUAACAUCACCGGAGGCAUCUUCGGUGGUUGAAAACUCAGGUGGUCAGAGAUGGACAUGCGUUGUAUUAGCUAGUUGGUGAGGUAACGGCUCACCAAGGCGACGAUACAUAGGGGGACUGAGAGGUCAACCCCCCACAUUGGUACUGAGACACGGACCAAACUCCUACGGAAGGCAGCAG